This 375-nucleotide unclassified non-coding RNA is filed under the name uncultured Latescibacterota bacterium. Its description in RNAcentral is "uncultured Latescibacteria bacterium contains 16S-23S intergenic spacer region". The record is from RNAcentral. Lineage: Bacteria; Pseudomonadati; Candidatus Latescibacterota.
UCCGGCUUAUCACCGGCAGUCCCCUUAGAGUUCCCAACUGAAUGAUGGCAACUAAGGGCAAGGGUUGCGCUCGUUGCGGGACUUAACCCAACAUCUCACGACACGAGCUGACGACAGCCAUGCAGCACCUGUGCACAGACCCCGAAGGGAGAGCGUGUUUCCACGCCUGUCCUGUGCAUGUCAAGCCCCGGUAAGGUUCUUCGCGUUGCGUCGAAUUAAACCACAUACUCCACCGCUUGUGCGGGCCCCCGUCAAUUCCUUUGAGUUUCAACCUUGCGGUCGUACUCCCCAGGCGGGAUACUUAAUGCGUUAGCUGCGGCACAGAAGGGGUCGAUGCCUCCUACACCUAGUAUCCAACGUUUAGGGCCAGGACUA